GAACGAGUGGCGGACGGGUGAGUAACACGUGGGUAACCUGCCCUUAAGUGGGGGAUAACAUUUGGAAACAGAUGCUAAUACCGCAUAGAUCCAAGAACCGCAUGGUUCUUGGCUGAAAGAUGGCGUAAGCUAUCGCUUUUGGAUGGACCCGCGGCGUAUUAGCUAGUUGGUGAGGUAAUGGCUCACCAAGGCGAUGAUACGUAGCCGAACUGAGAGGUUGAUCGGCCACAUUGGGACUGAGACACGGCCCAAACUCCUACGGGAGGCAGCAGUAGGGAAUCUUCCACAAUGGACGCAAGUCUGAUGGAGCAACGCCGCGUGAGUGAAGAAGGCUUUCGGGUCGUAAAACUCUGUUGUUGGAGAAGAAUGGUCGGCAGAGUAACUGUUGUCGGCGUGACGGUAUCCAACCAGAAAGCCACGGCUAACUACGUGCCAGCAGCCGCGGUAAUACGUAGGUGGCAAGCGUUAUCCGGAUUUAUUGGGCGUAAAGCGAGCGCAGGCGGUUUUUUAAGUCUGAUGUGAAAGCCCUCGGCUUAACCGAGGAAGCGCAUCGGAAACUGGGAAACUUGAGUGCAGAAGAGGACAGUGGAACUCCAUGUGUAGCGGUGAAAUGCGUAGAUAUAUGGAAGAACACCAGUGGCGAAGGCGGCUGUCUGGUCUGUAACUGACGCUGAGGCUCGAAAGCAUGGGUAGCGAACAGGAUUAGAUACCCUGGUAGUCCAUGCCGUAAACGAUGAAUGCUAGGUGUUGGAGGGUUUCCGCCCUUCAGUGCCGCAGCUAACGCAUUAAGCAUUCCGCCUGGGGAGUACGACCGCAAGGUUGAAACUCAAAGGAAUUGACGGGGGCCCGCACAAGCGGUGGAGCAUGUGGUUUAAUUCGAAGCAACGCGAAGAACCUUACCAGGUCUUGACAUCUUUUGAUCACCUGAGAGAUCAGGUUUCCCCUUCGGGGGCAAAAUGACAGGUGGUGCAUGGUUGUCGUCAGCUCGUGUCGUGAGAUGUUGGGUUAAGUCCCGCAACGAGCGCAACCCUUAUGACUAGUUGCCAGCAUUUAGUUGGGCACUCUAGUAAGACUGCCGGUGACAAACCGGAGGAAGGUGGGGAUGACGUCAAAUCAUCAUGCCCCUUAUGACCUGGGCUACACACGUGCUACAAUGGAUGGUACAACGAGUUGCGAGACCGCGAGGUCAAGCUAAUCUCUUAAAGCCAUUCUCAGUUCGGACUGUAGGCUGCAACUCGCCUACACGAAGUCGGAAUCGCUAGUAAUCGCGGAUCAGCACGCCGCGGUGAAUACGUUCCCGGGCCUUGUACACACCGCCCGUCACACCAUGAGAGUUUGUAACACCCGAAGCCGGUGGCGUAACCCUUUUAGGGAGCGAGCCGUCUAAGGUGGGACAAAUGAUUAGGGUGAAGUCGUAACAAGGUAGCCGUAGGAGAACCUGCGGCUGGAUCACCUCCUUUCUAAGGAA
This 1468-nucleotide ribosomal RNA is filed under the name Lacticaseibacillus paracasei. RNAcentral describes it as "bacterial SSU rRNA". It matches the Rfam family "Bacterial small subunit ribosomal RNA". The record is from RNAcentral. Lineage: Bacteria; Bacillati; Bacillota; Bacilli; Lactobacillales; Lactobacillaceae.